RNAcentral lists this ribosomal RNA (497 nucleotides) under uncultured bacterium. RNAcentral describes it as "partial 16S ribosomal RNA". It matches the Rfam family "Bacterial small subunit ribosomal RNA", at positions 28 to 507 of the family's 1533-position model. The record is from RNAcentral.
GAUGAACGCUGGCGGCGUGCCUAAUACAUGCAAGUCGAGCGAACGGACGAGAAGCUUGCUUCUCUGAUGUUAGCGGCGGACGGGUGAGUAACACGUGGAUAACCUACCUAUAAGACUGGGAUAACUUCGGGAAACCGGAGCUAAUACCGGAUAAUAUUUUGAACCGCAUGAUUCAAAAGUGAAAGACGGUCUUGCUGUCACUUAUAGCUGGAUCCGCGCUGCAUUAGCUAGUUGGUAAGGUAACGGCUUACCAAGGCAACGAUGCAUAGCCGACCUGAGAGGGUGAUCGGCCACACUGGAACUGAGACACGGUCCAGACUCCUACGGGAGGCAGCAGUAGGGAAUCUUCCGCAAUGGGCGAAAGCCUGACGGAGCAACGCCGCGUGAGUGAUGAAGGUCUUCGGAUCGUAAAACUCUGUUAUUAGGGAAGAACAUAUGUGUAAGUAACUGUGCACAUCUUGACGGUACCUAAUCAGAAAGCCACGGCUAACUACGUG